GGCUGUUCUUCCACGCUCAUGUUCUUCCUUGGUUGCCUGUACAGUAGAACAUCAGGCGCUGUUCUUGGCACAGAACUGAAAAUUCACAUACCAUUCUCCAUUGAUAUAGGGUGUCAUUUCUUCAGAUCAGAUGUGAUCUCCCAGUGGGAGCAAAGAGGGGAGCUGUGGAGGGAAGAAAGAGGACCUCCCCAAGGCUGGAGUCCAGGUGAGCUGCAGACAUGCGCUCAGUGUGAGAAGGCUAGUGAGUAAGCAGGGUCUUAUUGAUGUCAGUGCAGAUUUCCUUGAGUGAACGACAGCUUCAGAAACUGUGAGUGGCCAAUGAGACAACAUUCCUCAGACUGUGUCAUUAUUUCUUCCAUAUCAGUUUCUCUUCAUGUACCUGUACUUACAUUUCACCUCAGGCAAGCAAAUGUUCCUGUCCUCGUUGGAGGUAAAAUUUCACAUUGUGGUCUUUGUCAUGAUUUCUUUUAGGAUUUCCACUCUUGAUAUUCUCUGCAACAGCCCAUCAUUAUUUUAUUUUUCUUUAACUUAAACAUUGAGUUUUGUUCUAAUUGAUAUUAUUCUAAAAUGUAUGUCUGUUCACCAGUAUUUUCCUCAAUUUCACAUCAUUUGGUCACGUGUGCUUACCUGGUCUCGUGAGCUUUUCAACACUUUAAUUUCCUACUCAAGGUAUUUCUUAGGUUUAUUUCUUUUUUUCCUCAAUUGUUUUAGGCAUGAAAAACAGCCAUAACAAGCAAGAAAUAAUACCUAUGCAAGAUAUCUGCAUGAACGACCCACCUAACUGCUGGACAGUACAGAAAUGUCACACGGGAGAAGACCUCUCCGUAUAUAGUGGGUUUGAUGAAGUUUUUACUCACACGUACACAUUGACUCAACAUGUCUUAACUCACACUGUACGGAAACCCUAUAAAUGUAAUGAAUGUGGAAAACACUUCACCCGAAAUGCCAACCUUCGUACUCAUAAAAUAACCCACACAGGAGAGAAUCCAUUUGCUUGUAAUCAGUGUGGGAGGCGCUUCAGGUAUUUUUCAUCUUUAACUAGACAUAAGCGAAUUCAUACUGGAGAGAAGCCUUACGAAUGUCGUCUAUGUGGCAAAGCCUUUGUUCGAAGUUCCAUUAAACGGCAUGAGAGAACUCACACUGGAGAGAAACCAUUUAAAUGUCAUCUAUGUGGAAAAGGCUUCGUUACUAGGUCUAAUCUUCGAGAACAUGAGAGAACUCACACCGGAGAAAAACCAUAUACAUGUCAUCAGUGUGGAAAAGCCUUUGUUACAAGCUCUAAUCUUCGAGAACAUGAGAG
Panthera uncia (snow leopard) is the source of this 1300-nucleotide long non-coding RNA. RefSeq lists it as uncharacterized. The transcript has 2 exons. Lineage: Eukaryota; Metazoa; Chordata; Mammalia; Carnivora; Felidae. The record is from RefSeq and is a predicted model, not a curated record.